GAUGAACGCUGGCGGCGUGCCUAAUACAUGCAAGUCGAGCGAACAGACGAGGAGCUUGCUCCUCUGACGUUAGCGGCGGACGGGUGAGUAACACGUGGAUAACCUACCUAUAAGACUGGGAUAACUUCGGGAAACCGGAGCUAAUACCGGAUAAUAUAUUGAACCGCAUGGUUCAAUAGUGAAAGACGGUUUUGCUGUCACUUAUAGAUGGAUCCGCGCCGCAUUAGCUAGUUGGUAAGGUAACGGCUUACCAAGGCGACGAUGCGUAGCCGACCUGAGAGGGUGAUCGGCCACACUGGAACUGAGACACGGUCCAGACUCCUACGGGAGGCAGCAGUAGGGAAUCUUCCGCAAUGGGCGAAAGCCUGACUGAGCAACGCCGCGUGAGUGAUGAAGGUCUUCGGAUCGUAAAACUCUGUUAUUAGGGAAGAACAAAUGUGUAAGUAACUAUGCACGUCUUGACGGUACCUAAUCAGAAAGCCACGGCUAACUACGUG
Molecule: ribosomal RNA, 497 nt
Filed under: uncultured bacterium
Lineage: Bacteria
Description: partial 16S ribosomal RNA
Rfam family: Bacterial small subunit ribosomal RNA
Source: RNAcentral